CGCAGCAGCCGGGCGCACCCUGAGUUGACUGAGGGAGCGGGUGGCCUUGGCGGCCAUGUUAGACACACACACACACCGAGGCAGCCGUCGAACCGGGAGGACCAGGGGGGCGAGUGAGCGAGCGAGGGAACGCCGGGGGUUAGUGGAGAAACCACAGGCAGCUGGAAAGCUGAGAGGGAGCGCCAAGUGGCUAGUCGAAGGCUUUCCGCCACUGAGGUCGAGCUCCUCGGGGCCUGGGCUUGGGGCGGGAUGGAAAUCCGGCCGGGUAGAUCGGGGCCGGCCCGGGACUCGGUAGGACGAGCUUCUCACUAGAGUCUGGGGAUCUACGGGGCGGGGUAGGCCUCGUUUCCCUACGUGGGUCCGGAGCGGCCUGGCUCUAGGCGCUGCCGAAUCCGGGGCUCGGGACGGGAGCAGGCCCAAAGGCCUCCUCUUCCAGCCCGGGGCAAGCGGGAACAACUCGGAUCUCCUUUUCGUCUCGGCUCCGCCGCGCCCUCGGCCUCCACUCUGCCCGGGGUGCUGGAGAGAUGUUUAUCUCGGGCUCCUCCCUCCCCCUUGGGAGGUUUCUCGGCCUUUCUGUGGAUUUUUUAAUCUUAUCUGGGGUCCCUACACACCCCCCUUCCAGGGGGGAAAAAAAAAGGAGAUUACAGGCUAUUCUUUAGCGAGAUCGGGUUUGGACGCUGGCCAGCCAGAUGUUUAAAGUCCUAGCAAUAGGAAGGGGGGGAAGGGGGGGAGUGUGAUUGAGACAUCCUAGAGCCCCUGCCUAGCCGCAGGCAAGGACGGAUUCGAUAAGAUUUGGGGUUUUUUAGUAUUAGGAAUGACCUUGGUGGGAGAACUGACUGUCGGUUGAAGUUUUUUUUCUUUUUUAAUCAAUAGUGCCCAUUACUAGAACUGAAGAGCAAGCUUCCUCCUCCCUCCCCCACAGGAGAGUGGCAGUAGAAUAUUUAAUUCCUCCCGGGUAGAAAAGUUCCAGGAUUAAUUAUGGGACUCCCAAAUUUGGUGACCAUUUUGAGGGAUGUGAUUUUGCUUUUUUGCAUUUUCCUGAAGGAGAUACUAGAUUUUGGACUCUUCUUAGUAAAUUGCAUCGUUUUCAGAUAACUUAAUUAAAACUGCUCGGGUUUUUUUCUUUUCAGAGUCUCAACACAAUGAAAAAAUGGAGUGAAAUUUCUUUCUUCAUAAAGGUUUCUGAAGACUCACAAGUUGAAUAAAUAAAAUUAUAGUUAAGGUUAUCCUUGGACAAAAGAAAGAAAAUCUAGAAGAAAAUAUUUGAAAACUAAUCAAAAAGCUUUUUUCUUUCAGAUGUGUGUGGAUGAUAAAAAAACAAGUUGCCUUUUUAAAAUGUCAUGAUUUUGGGAACAGCUCAAAAUGAGUGGGCAUUCUUUGGUUUAAUGCUUGAUGAUUUCUUGGCAUCCUUUGUAAUGAAUGCAAUGAUAGAAAAGGCUUAAACAGAAAUAACUACAUGAUACCUCUGGAAGCAUUUUCAUUCUAACAGGAUUCUUGUAAGUAAACAUGGCUUGAUUAUCUGGAACUUCUCUUUGAACAGAAAAGAUCUUCACUUCUGUUUGAGUUGCUAUGGAAGUCCUGUUUGGUGGAAAGAAAAAGACUAACACCAACUGGAUUAAACAAGUUUGAUUGUCAGAUUGGUGUGUGGGAUGAAUGAGAAUGUAGUUCAAUGUAUUAUAUAAUCUAAUACAUCUUACAGCAGUUUGAAAUUUUUCCCGCCUUCGCUAAUGGACAUGUGGGAUGUGACUAUAAAAUAAUGAAACUAUUUUCUUCAUGGUAUUUAUGGAAACAAGUCUUAUUUCUUUAUAGUCACACAUGCUUUAUUAACAUCACAGCUAAAGAAUCUUGAUGGAUUGUUUCAUCUAGUGUCAUUUGCCUUUGAAAAAAGAGUGCUAUGGUAUACUUCUGGUAGUUUAACAUCAAUUACUGUAUAUUUGAGGAGACAAUGAGACUGCUCCUCUGGGAAAAGCCACUGUUUCCUAAUGUCUGUUGUCUUGGCAAAACUUCCUUUUGUUGCUAUGUUCUAUAUGACUUAAUGCUUCAAAAUUAUUGCGCAUUUUUUCCAACUAAUUUAUUUAGGUCAUAUUGACUGUAGUUCAAAAUAUCUGACUUUUCCUCAUUUUAGGAAUUCAUUUCUCUCUAAAUCCCAUGGAACAUCCUAGAUGAAAUUGCAACUACAUUUAAAAACUUAUUUCAGAGUCCUUGAUUUUUAUAUUCCUAUAUAAUGCUUCAGUGACAUUUUGCCUAGAAAUUUGUCAAUUGUACUGCUGUUGCUUUUCACCAUGUCAUUCCAUUUUAUGGAAUGGAUUAAUGUCUUAAAGCAUGUUGUUGAAAUAGAACUUUUAUCAUGUAGUGGGAGAAAAAAACUCAAAAUCACUACACAGGCUCUGUUCCCCUAUAUUUUUACCUGUAUUGCAUUGAAUGAAAAAGCUUCAAGAAGACUGGUAUAUCUAUGAAGCUUAGAUUUUUAGGCAGUCAUAGAACUAGCAACAUUUGAAAAGUUCCUUUUAGCAAUUUAAAAUAUCUUCUAUUAAACUGGGAAAACUUAGUAGCAAGGAGCAAAGUAGACUAGGACCAAGAAUUAUGCCAGGUUUCAUCUUUUUAUAACACAUUUUCUUACUAAAAAAUAGAGUAAGAACUUCUUUGAUUUCAGUGAGUGAAUUACAUAUUCUCAGUUGCCUAUACUACACAUUCUUUCAUUUAGGGACUCUUGAUUGCUUAAAAAAUCAAAGCACUGAAAAGAAACUCAUAAUGUAUUCCAAAUUGCUGGCCCUCAAUCAGAGACUGGAUGUAUUUUGGAGGAGAUGUGUGUUUCAGCCAUGGGGUGGGCUGAAUGAUAAGUAUAUGGUGCCAAGAUAAUAAGUCAUUGCCCAGACAGGGUGGAAGGUGUAAGGAAAUGCUUUGAACACAAUUACCAGGCUUCCUGGUAUCUGAUGGUUGGUUACUGUAUAGGGUUCUCCUUAAUAGGAACAACAAAAAAAUUACCCUUGACAAAUGGAAAACACCAUACUAUCUUUACUACAAAUUACCUCAAUGCUGAAAUGUCAGGAAAGAAGAAAAAAUGCUUAAUUUUAAAGAGUUCUGAGGAUUCAAAGGUUUGGUCCCCUGUCCAGAGGCAUUUCUAUCAUUUCCCCCUUGUAUACAAAGCAAAAAACUAGAUUUACAGAAAUUUGAAUUGAGUGAAUGGUGCCAAUUUUACAUAUUAAGGUAAGUGGCUUUUUAAGAAUAGAAUCUUUUAGGAUAGAAAAAACUUGUUACAACUCUAACCAGGCUUAUGGGUUAUCCUUCCCCCUAUGAUAAAGUCUAAUUAGUAUUUUAUUUUUCAGAUGUAACGAAGUCAACAAGCCUGAUACAAUUUUGUUUCAAAAGUGAAAAUGAGGAAAGUUAUUUUAAAAUUGUGUAAAUGAAAAAAGUUUGGUGUAUAUUGUAUGUCCUUUUGAGAAAAUGUUAUUUUAAGAGUUAUACAGGUUCAUGAUUUCGUUCUCACCUCAUUUUGACAUAUGUUAUCAGAAAUCACUGAAUUUCAAGUUGGGGGUUCAAAUCCUGUUUCCAGCUUAUUUUCCACUUCUCCAAAAUGAAGUUGAAUUACAUGCUCUCUCUGAGAAGUACAGGAAUAGAAAAUUUAACUAGCUUUGCUAACUUCAUACUUGCCCCAUUUUUCAAAUACCAGUUUUAUUUAUUUUUAAUUGCAUUAGAACUGUAACCCUGGGAAAUGAAAUUGCAGUCUUUGAAAAAUAUUGUCAGUCAUCAAA
Molecule: long non-coding RNA, 3752 nt
Organism: Monodelphis domestica (gray short-tailed opossum)
Lineage: Eukaryota; Metazoa; Chordata; Mammalia; Didelphimorphia; Didelphidae
Source: RefSeq, a predicted model, not a curated record